GGCAGAUCUAGUGUCCAUUGAUGGUGCGGGCGCCAUUGCACUAUCCUGAGUUGAUACAAUGGUGGCGACGGAGAGCACAACAGCCACAAACAUGAUCAUAAUGUGUUUAGAGAAGCAAACUUUUGAUAUCCCUGAAAACUAACAAAGAAAAUUAUACAAUGUUUUUCAAGGUAGAAAAAUAAGGACUCAAAUUUUAUAUGAAAUACGACCUUUCAAGGCGA
Molecule: long non-coding RNA, 221 nt
Filed under: Gossypium barbadense (sea-island cotton)
Lineage: Eukaryota; Viridiplantae; Streptophyta; Magnoliopsida; Malvales; Malvaceae
Description: long non-coding RNA (GBAR_LNC000500)
Source: RNAcentral